RNAcentral lists this long non-coding RNA (560 nucleotides) under Chrysemys picta bellii (western painted turtle). Its description in RNAcentral is "lncRNA (ENSCPBG00000012588.1)". The record is from RNAcentral. Lineage: Eukaryota; Metazoa; Chordata; Testudines; Emydidae.
CGGGGGGUUGGGCAACCUGGCCAGGCGGGAAGUGCUGGCAGAGCUGUGAGGAAAGCUGUCAAGAGAGCAAAGCUGUGGGGCCGAGGGCAGAGCCAAGGAACAGAGCAUCACGCCUGGGCCCAAGCCUGCUGCAUCUGCAGCCCGGAAUUCCCCCCAUCGCAGAUUACUGCGUGCUGGCAACGGACAUGGGGGGAAGCUGAGACAACACCGCUCCUCCGAGCAGGGAGCUGGCUUGAAUGAAGACGACAGCUCUCAUGAGGAAACCUCUGCAUCCCUCUGCAGUGACCCCUGCUGGCUAGUGCAGGGCUUCGGUCUAGACACUACGGACCCUUCUCACACAGCAGGGACAACUCUCCCAGCACAGGGCCCAGCACUGGGGGCACAGGUCAGUAGCAUGAAACUGACUGAGGCGGAUUCUUGUGGCUUCAACAGACUCUCCCGCAGUGUGUUGGGGGGAAAUCUGCCCCCAGUCCCAGAACCCCCUUGCACCCUGUGCCCCAGACGUGGCCUGUGGCCUGGUGCCCACUGAAAUAAAGCGUGCCGGGGGUGCUGAAGCUGCA